This 102-nucleotide microRNA precursor is filed under the name Marmota monax (woodchuck). Lineage: Eukaryota; Metazoa; Chordata; Mammalia; Rodentia; Sciuridae. The record is from RNAcentral.
AGUGGGAUGACUGGGUCAUAUAGUGGUUCCAUUACUAUUUUUUGAAGAAUAUUCAUACUGCUUUCUGAAGUGGUUGUACUAAUUUGCAGCCCCACCAACAAU